UCUCAAACUCCUGGACUCAAGCAAGCCUCCUACCUCGGCCUCCUGAAGUGUUGGGAUUACAGGCAUGAGCCACGGUGCACAGCAAGAGCUUUAACCUUAAUGACCAUUCAUUCUCUACCCCACAUUACCUACAACUGAUACAGAUUGGGUUUUUCUGGUACCUCUACCUGGAAGGAGAUGAGAGGGCAGAUCUUUCAACAUAAUAAUUCCCCAAAGAUCUACAAGAACCUAUUCAUAUUAUUAAGAUAUUGCCUGCUCCUGCAGAGGGCUGCUGCCAUGUCAUGAGCACUCUCAAGCAGCUCUAGCGAGGGGUCAUGUCAUGAGGAACUGAGACCUUCUGCCAAUAGCUGUGUGAAUGAGCCAUCAUGGAGGCAGGUCCUCCAGCCCCAGUCAAGCCUUCAGAUGAUGGCAGCCCCAGCUGAUGAUUUGACUGCAAACUCUCAUGCAACCAGGAAUAAGAACCACUCAGCAGAACCACUCCCAAUUUCCUGACCCACAGAAACUGUGAGAUAAAUAAAUAUUGCUUUAAGCUGCUGUGCUUAGG
RNAcentral lists this long non-coding RNA (544 nucleotides) under Homo sapiens (human). Its description in RNAcentral is "HSALNT0290581". The record is from RNAcentral. Lineage: Eukaryota; Metazoa; Chordata; Mammalia; Primates; Hominidae.